Molecule: ribosomal RNA, 904 nt
Filed under: Shigella flexneri
Lineage: Bacteria; Pseudomonadati; Pseudomonadota; Gammaproteobacteria; Enterobacterales; Enterobacteriaceae
Description: partial 23S ribosomal RNA
Rfam family: Bacterial large subunit ribosomal RNA
Source: RNAcentral
AAUCUGCGAUAAGCGUCGGUAAGGUGAUAUGAACCGUUAUAACCGGCGAUUUCCGAAUGGGGAAACCCAGUGUGAUUCGUCACACUAUCAUUAACUGAAUCCAUAGGUUAAUGAGGCGAACCGGGGGAACUGAAACAUCUAAGUACCCCGAGGAAAAGAAAUCAACCGAGAUUCCCCCAGUAGCGGCGAGCGAACGGGGAGCAGCCCAGAGCCUGAAUCAGUGUGUGUGUUAGUGGAAGCGUCUGGAAAGGCGUGCGAUACAGGGUGACAGCCCCGUACACAAAAAUGCACAUACUGUGAGCUCGAUGAGUAGGGCGGGACACGUGGUAUCCUGUCUGAAUAUGGGGGGACCAUCCUCCAAGGCUAAAUACUCCUGACUGACCGAUAGUGAACCAGUACCGUGAGGGAAAGGCGAAAAGAACCCCGGCGAGGGGAGUGAAAAAGAACCUGAAACCGUGUACGUACAAGCAGUGGGAGCACGCUUAGGCGUGUGACUGCGUACCUUUUGUAUAAUGGGUCAGCGACUUAUAUUCUGUAGCAAGGUUAACCGAAUAGGGGAGCCGAAGGGAAACCGAGUCUUAACUGGGCGUUAAGUUGCAGGGUAUAGACCCGAAACCCGGUGAUCUAGCCAUGGGCAGGUUGAAGGUUGGGUAACACUAACUGGAGGACCGAACCGACUAAUGUUGAAAAAUUAGCGGAUGACUUGUGGCUGGGGGUGAAAGGCCAAUCAAACCGGGAGAUAGCUGGUUCUCCCCGAAAGCUAUUUAGGUAGCGCCUCGUGAAUUCAUCUCCGGGGGUAGAGCACUGUUUCGGCAAGGGGGUCAUCCCGACUUACCAACCCGAUGCAAACUGCGAAUACCGGAGAAUGUUAUCACGGGAGACACACGGCGGGUGCUAACGUCCG